Small nuclear RNA from Gorilla gorilla gorilla (western lowland gorilla), 114 nucleotides. Lineage: Eukaryota; Metazoa; Chordata; Mammalia; Primates; Hominidae. The record is from Ensembl.
GUACCCACCUUAGCAGCACAUAUACUAUUAAUAACAUUGGAAAAAUACAGAGAAGGUUAGCAUGGCCCCUGUGUGAGGAUGACAUGCAAAUUUGUAAAAGCAUUGCAUAUUUUU